GCAAACUCAAGAGCUUUCACUCCACACUUGCCCACACGUUUUUGCCUUCAAGCUUCCAAGCUUUCAAGUGCUCAAGUGUCUUAGCUUUCUAAAGCUUCAAAAGCUCUCCAACUUCUUCUUCUAAUCUUUUUGUUCAUCUUUACAAGCAAGAAGUGUUGUUUGCUUUAAUAUUCCACUUCUCUAAUCACCUCUUGUGUGUGUCCACUUUGGUUGAGAGGGUUGUCUCAAUAGUACCAAAGUGUGAGAGAAGGUUUUCGAGCUCAACCAUAAAGCUCUAGUUUGGUUUUAUAGAGUUUCCGGAAAAACUCUUAGGUCGAAUCUACCUUGAAAGAUUUCUAGAUUUUUAAGAGUUUCUUGAUACUCUAAGGUAUUAACUUACCCGUAAAAGUUAGAGGUUCUUAAGAGUGCCCUCGAUACUCUAAGGUGUGAGUCUACCCGUAAAAGACUGGUUCCUAAGCGAAGUAGCCUUAAAGCUUAGAGAGGUUUUUAAGAGUUCCUUGAUACUCUAAGGUACUAACUUACUCGCAAAAGUUAGAGGUUCUUAAGAGUGCCCUUGAUACUCUAAGGUGUGAGUCUACCCGUAAAAGACUGGUUCCUAAGUGAAGUAGCCUUAGAGCUUAGAGAGAUUCUUAAGAGUUUCCUUGAUACUCUAAGGUUUUGCCAUAACCUUUAGGCGAGUGAAUUCCGACAGUUGGUCGGGACUGGAUUAGCCCUUGUUUGGGUGAACCAGUAUAAAUCUCUUGUGUUGUUCUUUGUUAACUUUAGUUUUUAUCUUCCAUCUAAAAACAACUAAACAACACUUAAUUGAAAAGGAUCCCUCUUUCAGUUAUCUGGUCAAAUACAGAGGUUGACUACUUUACGCAGAUCCCUCAUCCAGUUAUCUGGUCAACUAUCUGAGGUUAUAUUCAUUGCUUUAAAUCCUUAUUCAUAUAUUUGUUCAAGCAUUUACUUAUUAUAUAUAUCCAAUUAUCUGGUCAUUUACUUGCUUAUCAAUAUAUACAGUUAUCUGGUCAUUUACUUGCUUAUCAAUAUAUCCAGUUAUCUGGUCAUUUACUCUACAAUACAAUUUGUGUUUACAACAUAACUUAGUACUCAUAUACUAUAGUUGUUUGUAAAACACUAUCAAGCAAGUUGACUCAGUAUUCAUAUACUGUGGUAAGCUUCGAAGAGUAAUAAUUAAGUUAUUAUAUCAAUCAAAGUCAUAAUAUCUCUAUAUCAUUAUUGUUCAACCAUUUGUUUAUUAAGUGUUUACAGGUAAUUCCGCAAUCAACCUGUAUAAAUCGAAAAGAGACUAUUAUCCCCCCUUAUAGCCUCGGAUCACGAUCCAACAGACAUUUCAAGUGUGCUCAAUGAAUCUAUUGUUCUUAGGGUUGCGCAGUCGGAAAAACGAAGUAGGGAUUCGUUCAUCAUAUUUUAAUCUUAUAAAUUUCAACCAAAUAACUAUCCGGUUAUUUCUGCCAAAAUAGUAGAGGGAAGGGAUGCGUUCUUUUUCCCCCCAGAUUUUACAUAGUACAAUACAUAGUACCAUACUUCUGUUACCCUAAGUCGUACUGUUACCGUACAUAGUACCAUAUUUUUUUCCCCUGACAAUGUUAACCCUUAAUAUUCUUAUCACAGAUAAAGCUGGUGCUCCAGUUGCACGUCUAAUUAAUGGG
RNAcentral lists this long non-coding RNA (1655 nucleotides) under Zostera marina. RNAcentral's name for it is "long non-coding RNA (ZMAR_LNC002254)". Lineage: Eukaryota; Viridiplantae; Streptophyta; Magnoliopsida; Alismatales; Zosteraceae. The record is from RNAcentral.